UACGAAGGGGGCUAGCGUUGCUCGGAAUUACUGGGCGUAAAGGGCGCGUAGGCGGCACUGUUAGUCAGGCGUGAAAUUCCUGGGCUCAACCUGGGGACUGCGCUUGAUACGUGCGGACUUGAGUGCGGAAGAGGGUCGUGGAAUUCCCAGUGUAGAGGUGAAAUUCGUAGAUAUUGGGAAGAACACCGGUGGCGAAGGCGGCGACCUGGUCCGAUACUGACGCUGAGGCGCGAAAGCGUGGGGAGCAAACAGG
RNAcentral lists this ribosomal RNA (253 nucleotides) under uncultured bacterium. RNAcentral describes it as "partial 16S ribosomal RNA". It matches the Rfam family "Bacterial small subunit ribosomal RNA", at positions 524 to 776 of the family's 1533-position model. The record is from RNAcentral.